This 520-nucleotide unclassified non-coding RNA is filed under the name uncultured Glomus. Its description in RNAcentral is "SSU rRNA". It matches the Rfam family "Eukaryotic small subunit ribosomal RNA", at positions 569 to 1092 of the family's 1831-position model. Lineage: Eukaryota; Fungi; Glomeromycota; Glomeromycetes; Glomerales; Glomeraceae. The record is from RNAcentral.
AGCAGCCGCGGUAAUUCCAGCUCCAAUAGCGUAUAUUAAAGUUGCUGCAGUUAAAAAGCUCGUAGUUGAAUUUCGGGACUAAUAUGUCGGUCGUGCCUCGGUACGUACUGGUUUAUUGGUUUCUCCUUUCUGAAGAACCAUGAUGUCAUUUAUUUGGUGUCGUGGGGAAUCAGGACUGUUACUUUGAAAAAAUUAGAGUGUUUAAAGCAGGCUCACGCUUGAAUACAUUAGCAUGGAAUAAUGAAAUAGGACGUUUGAUUCUAUUUUGUUGGUUUCUAGGAUCGACGUAAUGAUUAAUAGGGAUAGUUGGGGGCAUUAGUAUUCAAUUGUCAGAGGUGAAAAUUCUUGGAUUUAUUGAAGACUAACUACUGCGAAAGCAUUUGCCAAGGAUGUUUUCAUUAAUCAAGAACGAAAGUUAGGGGAUCGAAGACGAUCAGAUACCGUCGUAGUCUUAACCAUAAACUAUGCCGACUAGGGAUCGGAUGAUGUUAAUUUUUAAUGACUCAUUCGGCGCCUUAAA